This is a long non-coding RNA of Eucalyptus grandis, 893 nucleotides long. RefSeq lists it as uncharacterized. The transcript is spliced from 3 exons. Lineage: Eukaryota; Viridiplantae; Streptophyta; Magnoliopsida; Myrtales; Myrtaceae. The record is from RefSeq and is a predicted model, not a curated record.
AGAGAGAGAGAGAGAGAGAGAGAGAGAGAAUUAGUCAUUGGGGAUUGAUGAUCUAGCCAGACAUUUUCAUGGCUUCGAUCGCACAGAAUGUUUUGAUGGCGCUGACCGCGAUGGUGAACAAGCCAUGCCGGCGGACUCCCACCAAUCAGGCGCCAGAACCAGAUGGUGUCUCCUCCUCCUGUCCGCAGUGGCCGCCGGGGAUUGGCGACCGGGCUUCUCGAGAAGUAUUUGAAGAAAUCGGAGGAAAAUAAAGUGAAAAACGACAGAGAGGCUGGAGAGCUACUACAAGAGAAACUACAAAGACUACUUCGAAUUUGUGGAAGGGCCAUCGAGCAAUAAGAUGGACCAACUCACCGAAUCAGAAAAGGGUAUUCUCGAUUGGCUUAAAAGUGACAAAUGAUUAGAGAGAGUCCAUGAUUUUUUAGGACACUCCUUUUAUUUCUUUAACUUUCUUAUAAUUAUUUCGUUUAUCAGCAUUAGGUGUUGAAAGCAUGCCACUUAACUUGUGUACGGAGUCUCUAUACUCUUUAUAUAUAUAGAUAGAUAGAUAGAUAGAUAGAUAGAUAGAUAGAUAGAUAGACAUGCAGUCUUUCCUCACUAAUAAAUUGAAGAUUUUGGGUUUAAUGUGAUAUUAGAAUUGGAUUAUAUCUCAAUUCAUAUCGAAUGGGCAGCUACCCAUUUGUCAAAUCUCAUGUGGUCUUCAUAAUCCAGCUUGCACGUGGAGAAAGAUGUGUUGAAGUAACUUGCAUUACUCGUCUAGGAGAUUCAUGUGCUCUUUAGAUAUAAGCGAUGUCCCUCUACUUAAAAGUUUAAGUUUUUUGGUCGGACAUUAUAACAUUAGCCUUGUGGUGAACAUAUAUUUUUGUUCAAAAAGACUGCUUAAUUUGAUGUUA